UGACAGUCUAAAUAUUUAUAAAAUGAUGCUCACUAUUCUUUUAUUUUGUCUUAAGAUCCAUCCAAUUCUGCAUAAAUCAGUUCAAAAAAAAAGAAAAAAAGAUCCAUCCAAUUCCCCAUACGUACUGUUGAAUCUGCUUUCCAUUACCGAUCUACACUAUACAUUAAUCAAAGGUGUUACGAGCUGGAAGUUGCUCAAAGGGAGGAGGAGAUAACCCUUUUGCCACAUUCACAGUAAACCAUUAGUUUUAUCCCAUUUUCUUAUCAGCCACUAUCUUCUCC
Molecule: long non-coding RNA, 281 nt
Filed under: Brassica rapa (field mustard)
Lineage: Eukaryota; Viridiplantae; Streptophyta; Magnoliopsida; Brassicales; Brassicaceae
Description: long non-coding RNA (BRAP_LNC007581)
Source: RNAcentral